Cyprinus carpio (common carp) is the source of this 313-nucleotide long non-coding RNA. RefSeq lists it as uncharacterized. The record is from RefSeq and is a predicted model, not a curated record. The transcript has 3 exons. NCBI's taxonomy places the organism in Eukaryota, Metazoa, Chordata, Actinopteri, Cypriniformes, Cyprinidae.
AAGAAAACCGAAAGUGGCUUUUUGAGCGCCUAUUACCACAUGCGGUCAUUGGAAGGAGAUUACGGCAGUUGAAACAAAUACGUAAAGGACUUAAAGAAACCAGAGUGUGGCCACUGUUGAGUGAAAGGAAAGAUGUGGAAAUCUUUCUGAGGGAAAAUGAAAAUUCACGUAACUCACCCCAUCGAUGCUGCUCAAUGUAUCUGCUGGCCCUCGGAUAUCAGUGUGAAUGAUGAGAGGACAAAGACGACGAAGAUUGUUCGCUAGAAGAUAGAUGUCACAUCUCGUGGUAUUUGCGUCACUUUAUUGAAGACAG